RNAcentral lists this ribosomal RNA (274 nucleotides) under uncultured bacterium. Its description in RNAcentral is "partial 16S ribosomal RNA". It matches the Rfam family "Bacterial small subunit ribosomal RNA", at positions 523 to 796 of the family's 1533-position model. The record is from RNAcentral.
AUACGGAGGGGGCAAGCGUUGUUCGGAAUUAUUGGGCGUAAAGGGCGCGUAGGCGGCACUGUAAGUCGGUUGUGAAAUCCCUUGGCUCAACCAAGGAACUGCAACCGAAACUACAGAGCUAGAGUCCGGGAGAGGGUAGUGGAAUUCCCAGUGUAGCGGUGAAAUGCGUAGAUAUUGGGAGGAACACCAGUGGCGAAGGCGGCUACCUGGACCGGUACUGACGCUGAGGCGCGAAAGCUAGGGGAGCAAACAGGAUUAGAAACCCCAGUAGUCC